UGCUAUACUUAUAAUGUACACGGUUGGAUUUCAGAUCUCGGUCAUGUGUGUGUUAUAUUAAUAUUGUACACGGUUGGAUUUUAUAUCGUUCUCAUGUAUGUGCUAUACUUAUAAUGUAAACGGUUGGAUUUCAGACCUUGGCCAUGUCUGUGUGUGUUACAAGAGAACUAUGCAUCAGGAUGCCUAUAUGUUUGUUCAGCAGAAAGGUCACGAAAGUCGCUAAACAUUGAUGCCUAUUUUCUACAACCGCCGAUGCUGUCCUUAGCCGCGGCCACCACUGCCACCAGCACCACCAGCGCCUAUACCUCCUCCGCCACCUCCGCCACCACCACCACCACUGCCAGCAGGACCAGGACCACCAGGACCGCCGCCGUUGACACCGCCGCAACCGCCACAACCGCCGCAACCACCACCUCUACCGUCGCCACCACCGCCGCCACCACCACCGCCACCACCGACCCAAUUUCCACCACCACCGCCGCCCACCGCCACCACCGUCGUGUAUACCACCGCCUCCACCGCCACCACCACCACCGGCACCAACAUUGGCACAAACCACCGCAUACGCCGCAAACAAUACUGCGGCCUGGAAUAAUUAUUCUAUUUAUUUCUUGCCCCAUUUCCGUUAAUUGUUAUUCGUAGGUAUAUGGAAUACCAAGUAAUGCUGAAUAUUAUUGUUAUCUUUACAGUUACACACACUUCACUACUUAAUUAUCUUUUAUAAAUUAAAUACUAUUUUAAAGAUCAGAAUACAUGGUUUAAAGAGUUUUCAUUACAUACCAUCAAAGCAAAUUUAACGGUUACACAUUAAUGAAAUACAUUAUGGAGUUCAUUUAAAGGUUGUGAAACAAUUAUUUACAAAAAUGUUAUUGAUCGGUGCAUUUAUAAUAAGGAAACCCUUACCAAAAUCGUGGAAAUAAAUAUAAAAAAGAACAUGUCAUUUACCUCCUCGACUUGAUGGGAAGGCGGCAGCCAUUUCCAGUAAGAGAAACCCUGUCACAAGGAUCGCAAGCUUCAUCUUGAUAUCUGUGAAGAUAAUGAAACUCAUGAUAUGAAAACACAAUGCACAGCGAAAAUUGACUAAUCCGCAGGUAAAGGAUAAAUGAUCAAAAUAGCUUAUGUUAAACUUUAAACAGUUAAAACAUUGAUAAACAUGACGAAUUAUUAUAUUUUUAAGUGGGGAAAAAUUACAACGCCUUGCAUUCCUGUGAAUAAGUCUACACUAAAAGAAAUGCUUUUCACAUGUCUAAACAAAAUGAAUUAGCUUAUUGAGUCGAUAGAAAAGACACAAAUACUAUAAACCAUGAUAAGAACAUAAUUUAUUUAAGGAUAUAUAUUUGAUAAAAAUUGUGAAAAAGACGAUAAUAUGCGGCUAUCUAUUUAAUAUUUUAUUUCAAUUAAAAUGAGCAUACCUCUGUAUCUAUCGCUUUGUUAUUAUUCAGUAGAACACUUUGUUAUUAUCCAGUAGAAUUAGAUUGGCGUUACGUUUUAUACUUCGCAGAUCGAGAGUUUAUCCUGUUGAUAUACACGUUAAUAUUCUCAACCCCUGAUAUUAAGUUGCACAAUAAGAAUAAACAGUACCAGCAACGCGUCAAGUCUUCUGGGAAAUGCCACAAAAUCCUUGUUUACCAAACGUCAACUCAUAUACAAAAUGCUCUUUCACACUCAUUACAACUUGUUGUUAAAAUUCAAGAAUAAACAAUACCAAGAUCACGUUAAGUCUUCUACGAAAAGCAACUGCGUCCGUGUUUAAACGUAACUCAAAAAAAAAUGCUUUACAAACGUGUUACACUAAGACAUGGUGUUUAAUUACUUCUAUGUAUAAACUGUCAGUCAUGUACGAACAUAUGAUUUGAAACAGGAUGUUUGGAGCGUUAUAAAUUAUUAUCUGUGGUUGUACGUUACUGUUCGCGCUGUCACUGAUUUAGAAUGUGUAUACAGUUCAGAUCAAUCAUUUAAACGGACCUUUUAAACGUAACGUAACUCUUCCGAAAAGUAUAAAACGGAACGUUAAUGUAUUGUUAUUUCAUUGAGGAGCAGUGACUGAUACACAGAUAUCAACAUGAAGCUUGCGAUCUUUGUGACAGUGUUUCUAUUACUGGCAAUGGCUGCCGCCUUACCCG
Molecule: long non-coding RNA, 2123 nt
Organism: Dreissena polymorpha
Lineage: Eukaryota; Metazoa; Mollusca; Bivalvia; Myida; Dreissenidae
Exons: 3
Source: RefSeq, a predicted model, not a curated record